GCUGACAGAUAGCAUUCUGCAACUCUCACAUGGUCACUCACUGAAGCUGAGCAGGGCUGCACCUGGUCAGUACCUGGAUAGGAGACCAUAUGGGAAAGCUAGGUUGCUGCCAGAA
Molecule: ribosomal RNA, 115 nt
Filed under: Danio rerio (zebrafish)
Lineage: Eukaryota; Metazoa; Chordata; Actinopteri; Cypriniformes; Danionidae
Source: RNAcentral